Molecule: transfer RNA, 72 nt
Filed under: Mesoflavibacter zeaxanthinifaciens
Lineage: Bacteria; Pseudomonadati; Bacteroidota; Flavobacteriia; Flavobacteriales; Flavobacteriaceae
Also listed under: 2 other names
Rfam family: tRNA
About the family: Transfer RNA (tRNA) molecules are approximately 80 nucleotides in length.
Source: RNAcentral
GGGGAUAUAGCUCAGUGGUAGAGCAUCCGGCUGCAGUCCGGCAGGUCCUUGGUUCAACUCCGAGUGUCCCCU